RNAcentral lists this long non-coding RNA (1065 nucleotides) under Olea europaea subsp. europaea. Lineage: Eukaryota; Viridiplantae; Streptophyta; Magnoliopsida; Lamiales; Oleaceae. The record is from RNAcentral.
CCCAAUUCGCCUCUGAUAAAGCUCUUCACCCAGCUUUACAAAACUUCAACACACCUGAGCGGAGAUCCCUGUAGGUCAUCGCCUCGAACGCUGCGUUCCUUCCUAAGCCUUACAAAGCUUUAGCCAUCUCCCAAUGCGUCGUCCCCUGUGAGUCAGCACAUCAGUGGCAGAUGAGCUCUUUACCCAGCUUUACAAAACUUCGACGUACCUGACGCAGAGAUCCCUGUGGGUCAUCGUCUCGGAUGCUGCGUUCCCUCCUAAGCUUUACAAAACUUUAGUCAUCUCCCAACUCGUCGUCCCCUAUGGGUCAGUGCAUCGGUGGCAGAUGAGAUCUUCACCCAGCUUUACAAAGGUUUGGCGUGCCUGACGCGGAGCCCCCCAUGGGUCAUUGUCUCGGCUUGGCUUUCCCUCAGCUUUUUAAAGCUUUAGCCAUUUCCUAACGCGUGUUUUCCCAUGGGUCAGCGCCCCGAAAUCCGAACCAUGACCUACAACGCCUCAAUUACACUAAGUCUCAUACAGCAGGUGUUCGAAACAUCUACUGGAUCGCCCUUUCACAUUAGGACUUCAUCACAAUCCACAGCCCCUACUCUAAGCUCGGCAUACACAAUCGAAAAAAUAAGUCCACCCAUGAUAUGAAUAUUCAUGUCUAAACUUGGGAGGACCACUGUUACGCCCCUAAAUGAACCACUUCGAAUAAUCAGGCACACCAUUCCCCAAAGCGCUACGUCCCCUUUCGAAGUUGUUCCAAAGUAAUCCGACGACCCCCAUAUUGACAUUUUGCGAGGUGCAGCGUAGAUCCACUGAAUCAGCUGGAGUGCCCUCAUGCCGAAGAGUCUUCAACAAAUCCCUCCGUCGCCACUGUCAGAAAGAUAUCCGUUAGGAUCCUCUUUGCCUCCAAGGAUUAAUUGAUGUGACGUCUCCAUAAGUCUAGUUGAUGUAACGUAUCAACUUUAUGUCAACUCAACUCAGAAGAACUAAUUUCCCGCCCACUCUAGAUGCGACUGAUUGACCCCUAUGAGAGAGCGCCUCACACCGUCAGAUGCAUACACGUGUCACACAUCCAAC